GACGAACGCUGGCGGCGUGCUUAACACAUGCAAGUCGAACGAGUGGCGAACGGGUGAGUAAUACGUGAGUAACCUGCCCUCUUUUUGGGAUACGCCUUGGAAACGGGGACUAAUACAGGAUUAAGGGGGAUGGGCUCGCGGCCUAUCAGCUUGUUGGUGGGGUGAUGGCCUACCAGGGCGGUGACGGGUAGCCGGCCUGAGAGGGUGACCGGCCACACUGGGACUGAGACACGGCCCAGACUCCUACGGUAGGCAGCAGUGGGGAAUAUUGCACAAUGGGCGCAAGCCUGAUGCAGCCAUGCCGCGUGUAUGAAGAAGGCCUUAGGGUUGUAAAGUACUUUCAGCGGGGAGGCGUUACCCGCAGAAGAAGCACCGGCUAACUCCGUGCCAGCAGCCGCGGUAAUUC
This 406-nucleotide ribosomal RNA is filed under the name uncultured bacterium. RNAcentral's name for it is "partial 16S ribosomal RNA". It matches the Rfam family "Bacterial small subunit ribosomal RNA", at positions 28 to 526 of the family's 1533-position model. The record is from RNAcentral.